AAGAGUUAGGGUCCUCUGGGCCCGACCUCCCAACCCUUUGUUUACCGAACCUCUGUUGCUUCGGCGGACCCGCUUCACGGCCGCCGGAGGACCGCCCCUGGGCGUCCUCUGGCCAGCGUCCGCCGAUAGCCAACUCUCAAAAUUCUUGAAUAAUCCAUGUUAUUGUCUAAGUUAUGAUGCAAAUCAAUUAAAGCA
RNAcentral lists this unclassified non-coding RNA (195 nucleotides) under uncultured fungus. RNAcentral's name for it is "sequence contains ITS1, 5.8S rRNA gene". The record is from RNAcentral. Lineage: Eukaryota; Fungi.